This 81-nucleotide transfer RNA is filed under the name Octadecabacter arcticus 238. Its description in RNAcentral is "tRNA-Arg". Lineage: Bacteria; Pseudomonadati; Pseudomonadota; Alphaproteobacteria; Rhodobacterales; Roseobacteraceae. The record is from RNAcentral.
ACAACGGGCGAACAUGUGGGGUGGCGCUGCCCUCCGAAGGUAGAGGCCGCAGGUUCGAAUCCAGUAUGGUUCACCACUUCC